Molecule: ribosomal RNA, 301 nt
Filed under: uncultured bacterium
Lineage: Bacteria
Description: partial 16S ribosomal RNA
Rfam family: Bacterial small subunit ribosomal RNA
Source: RNAcentral
CAGCCGCCACGGGAAUACGAAGGGGGCUAGCGUUGCUCGGAAUGACUGGGCGUAAAGGGCGAGUAGGCGGAUUGCACAGUCAGAUGUGAAAUUCCUGGGCUUAACCUGGGGGCUGCAUUUGAUACGUGGAGUCUAGAGUGUGAAAGAGGGUCGUGGAAUUCCCAGUGUAGAGGUGAAAUUCGUAGAUAUUGGGAAGAACACCGGUGGCGAAGGCGGCGACCUGGUUCAUGACUGACGCUGAGGCGCGAAAGCGUGGGGAGCAAACAGGAUUAGAUACCCCUGUAGUCCCUGUCUCUUAUAC